This 329-nucleotide ribosomal RNA is filed under the name uncultured Pseudoalteromonas sp. RNAcentral's name for it is "bacterial SSU rRNA". It matches the Rfam family "Bacterial small subunit ribosomal RNA", at positions 60 to 392 of the family's 1533-position model. Lineage: Bacteria; Pseudomonadati; Pseudomonadota; Gammaproteobacteria; Alteromonadales; Pseudoalteromonadaceae. The record is from RNAcentral.
AGUCGAGCGGUAACAUUUCUAGCUUGCUAGAAGAUGACGAGCGGCGGACGGGUGAGUAAUGCUUGGGAAUAUGCCUUAGGGUGGGGGACAACAGUUGGAAACGACUGCUAAUACCGCAUAACGUCUACGGACCAAAGGGGGCUUCGGCUCUCGCCCUUAGAUUAGCCCAAGUGGGAUUAGCUAGUUGGUGAGGUAAUGGCUCACCAAGGCGACGUUCCCUAGCUGGUUUGAGAGGAUGAUCAGCCACACUGGAACUGAGACACGGUCCAGACUCCUACGGGAGGCAGCAGUGGGGAAUAUUGCACAAUGGGCGCAAGCCUGAUGCAGCC